UGAUGGGUUUUGCCAGCUUGCCGAUAUCCUUCUGAGGAUAUGCACUCGAAUCGGUAUGUUAUCUGUUAAAUAGGAUUUCAAGUAAGUCCAUAAUUGUUGGUUUUCGGUGGCACAAUGGAAGGGUUAGGUGUUUAAAAUUUUCAUUCAAAACACCCAAUGCACCGGAAGCCUUAAUGCCCAGAAACUCUUGACUAUAAUAAUCAAAGCAUAAGAAAUAUAAAUUAGGAUAAGAAGAAUACCUAUAGCGCUAAUCUCAAUUUCUACAAGGCAUCCAAG
RNAcentral lists this long non-coding RNA (276 nucleotides) under Elaeis guineensis (African oil palm). Its description in RNAcentral is "long non-coding RNA (EGUI_LNC076554)". The record is from RNAcentral. Lineage: Eukaryota; Viridiplantae; Streptophyta; Magnoliopsida; Arecales; Arecaceae.